UGAUAGCGUAGAAGCGUGAGGUUGCUGUUUAUAAGAACAGGUUUUCCGUGGAGCGAAUGUCAAGUUAGGAAACUGGCGACAA
RNAcentral lists this non-coding RNA (82 nucleotides) under uncultured Roseburia sp. RNAcentral's name for it is "S10-Clostridia ribosomal protein leader". It matches the Rfam family "S10-Clostridia ribosomal protein leader". Lineage: Bacteria; Bacillati; Bacillota; Clostridia; Lachnospirales; Lachnospiraceae. The record is from RNAcentral.